AGUGAACGCUGGCGGUAGGCCUAACACAUGCAAGUCGAACGGCAGCACAGUAAGAGCUUGCUCUUACGGGUGGCGAGUGGCGGACGGGUGAGGAAUACAUCGGAAUCUACUUUUUCGUGGGGGAUAACGUAGGGAAACUUACGCUAAUACCGCAUACGACCUACGGGUGAAAGCAGGGGAUCUUCGGACCUUGCGCGAUUGAAUGAGCCGAUGUCGGAUUAGCUAGUUGGCGGGGUAAAGGCCCACCAAGGCGACGAUCCGUAGCUGGUCUGAGAGGAUGAUCAGCCACACUGGAACUGAGACACGGUCCAGACUCCUACGGGAGGCAGCAGUGGGGAAUAUUGGACAAUGGGAGCAAGCCUGAUCCAGACAUACCGAGUGGGUGAAGAAGGCCUUCGGGUUGUAAAGCCCUUUUGUUGGGAAAGAAAAGCAGCAGGUUAAUACCCCGCUGUUCUGACGGUACCCAAAGAAUAAGCACCGGCUAACUUCGUG
RNAcentral lists this ribosomal RNA (492 nucleotides) under uncultured bacterium. Its description in RNAcentral is "partial 16S ribosomal RNA". It matches the Rfam family "Bacterial small subunit ribosomal RNA", at positions 29 to 507 of the family's 1533-position model. The record is from RNAcentral.